RNAcentral lists this long non-coding RNA (1511 nucleotides) under Sus scrofa (pig). Its description in RNAcentral is "lncRNA (ENSSSCG00070008495.1)". The record is from RNAcentral. Lineage: Eukaryota; Metazoa; Chordata; Mammalia; Artiodactyla; Suidae.
UUGCCAGCGAUCUCCGUGGAAGCACUUUGUCAUUUCGCAGUUCUCUCUCUCUCUAGCUAAUAGUAGUAUUGUGUUACUUCACUCAAUCCUCACAGUAACGUUUGGAGGGAGGCGGCUGACGUUUCCUGUUUUGCAUAUGAGGAAACCGAGGGGAAAAUGCAAAGCGAUUUGCCUAAGGUCACCCAGCUCCAGCUCGUUACCAGGGAACAGAAGCUGCCGCGGCUUCUGAGCCCGGGCUUCCUGUGACCACUGCCCCCCUCCUCUCCAUCCGCAAAGUGGGGACACACAGCUUGACAUCCGGAAGAUCAGGCAGCUGACCAAUGUCACUACUCACCAUUUCUGGAGGGUUUUUCAGCGGGCGACGAUGGAGGGAUGAGAUGGGUUAGGGUGGACGACAGGUAUCUGGGCAGGAGAAUUGGGUUCAGGAGCAGUUGACCUUGGAGCUGGCCCCAUACGCCCCAUCUCUGCCCCUCGCCCACCCUGGAGGGGUGGCCUCAAUCAACAGCUCCCUUUUACCACAUAGUCAGACCCCGAGGGCCCUGAAAUUCCCAGAAGCUGGAGAUCUUCUGUUGCCUCCCUAUUUCGAAUUCUGUCUGUCAGCAAAUAUUUACGGAGCUUGUGCUAAGUGCUUUGUCACUGCCUGUGGAAUCCUGGCCAAAUGACUUAACCUCUCUGAGCCACAGUUCCCCAUUUUGCAAAAUGGGCUUGCUAGUGGCCUGCCAUUAAGCAAGAUAACCAGACUGCGGCCGGUGGGUUGUUGCUGGUGGAGACCCCUGCCCCCCUCCCCCCGUCUGCUCUUCCUCAUUCGCGUGCACGCGUUUCACGGAGAGAGCUUCAGGGCUCAGAGCCUGUUUGAACUGCUCGGGAAUGACUUGGAUUCCUGCUCCAGCUGAAUUCAAGCUCAGGUUUCUGCCCCCUCACCGUGCCAUCUUCUUGCUCCACCACACGUCAAGCUCUUUUGUCCCAAAAGCCCCGCAACACAGGGCCAUUUGGUGCAGAAGACUUUCACUGACGGUCAGAGGCAAGACAGAGCAGUUACAGCGUGAACCACAGUUGGGCACCUGCCAUCUGCCUCUGCGUGGAUUGAAUCAUGAGCCACUGCACCUGCCGACCCUCAGCACCCCCUGAAAGGAGCUCAGGGUGGAGGGCAGGAGUGAGGCCCUCUGUGCUCUGGGAGAACUGGCCGAACAGCCAGAUAGGUAGAUAUUUUCAGGAUAAGAUUUUAUGAGUCCCAUUCUCCCAUCUCUUCGUAUCUCGAAAAACACUAACAUUCUUCAGGGUGACGUCUGCUCCUCGUGACCAGCAGUGACCUUCAUGAGACCAGCAGCGACCUUCUAUAAAAAUACGUGCCUGGCUGCAUGCACCUCCCCCCUCCCCCAAAUCGCAUCUAUACGGCCCUUCCCCCUGCCCCUUUGGAGAGGUAUUUCAGAGCUCUCUGAAAUGCUGCCUCCCGGGCUAUAGUCCUCAUUCUGCCCCAAAUAAAACUUAACGCUCAACUUUGAGGUUGUGCA